RNAcentral lists this unclassified non-coding RNA (378 nucleotides) under fungal sp. RNAcentral's name for it is "partial internal transcribed spacer region". The stretch from base 1 to 46 matches the Rfam family "Eukaryotic small subunit ribosomal RNA", at positions 1786 to 1831 of the family's 1831-position model. Lineage: Eukaryota; Fungi. The record is from RNAcentral.
AAGUCGUAACAAGGUUUCCGUAGGUGAACCUGCGGAAGGAUCAUUAACACGUAUCCAAACGUUAAACCCCCCUGUGAACCUUCAGUGUACUCGUACGUCCGUUAGAAAAAGCAGCAAUCCCUGGUAAAUCAUCGCCGAACAGUUUUCGAUUCAGGGACGUCUGCAAGGAGCGUGCAUGUUGUGCGAAGCAAGUGGCCUGGCAUCCCCAAGCAGUUAGUGUCUGAAAGUGUCAUUAACUGUGUAAGGAUGACGCAGUCACGAUCGUUGGAGGCCCACACGGCCGACGACCGGGUCACUGGGCGCAAGCCCCCCUAUAACGCGAUAAUACGCAGUCGACCAAAAACCGAACAACUGUUAACAAUGGAUAUCUUGGUUCUC